GAAAUAGGAUAUUCAAGAAUAAGCUUCUAACUUAAUUCUUUAGCGAUGUAAUUUCGUUAAUAUUUCU
This 67-nucleotide transfer RNA is filed under the name Rugilus geniculatus. RNAcentral describes it as "tRNA-Ser". Lineage: Eukaryota; Metazoa; Arthropoda; Insecta; Coleoptera; Staphylinidae. The record is from RNAcentral. RNAcentral also lists the same sequence under 1 other name.